UGGGGAUAUAGCUCAAUGGUAGAGUGUUUGCCUGCAGAUCAAGUGGGUCUUGGUUCAAAUCCAAGUGCCCCAU
This is a non-coding RNA of Gopherus flavomarginatus (Mexican gopher tortoise), 73 nucleotides long. The record is from the annotation of a RefSeq genome assembly. Lineage: Eukaryota; Metazoa; Chordata; Testudines; Testudinidae.